Molecule: ribosomal RNA, 254 nt
Filed under: uncultured bacterium
Lineage: Bacteria
Description: partial 16S ribosomal RNA
Rfam family: Bacterial small subunit ribosomal RNA
Source: RNAcentral
GACGAACCGUGCGACCGUUAUUCGGAAUCACUGGGCUUAAAGCGCGUGUAGGCGGGCCGCCACGUCGGCUGCUGAAAUCCCCCGGCUCAACCGGGGAACGGGCACCGAUACGAGCGGCCUCGAGGGGGGUAGGGGGGUCUGGAACUUCCGGUGGAGCGGUGAAAUGCGUUGAGAUCGGAAGGAACGCCCGUGGCGAAAGCGAGGCCCUGGACCCUUACUGACGCUGAGACGCGAAAGCCAGGGGAGCGAACGGG